RNAcentral lists this ribosomal RNA (435 nucleotides) under uncultured bacterium. Its description in RNAcentral is "partial 16S ribosomal RNA". It matches the Rfam family "Bacterial small subunit ribosomal RNA", at positions 28 to 507 of the family's 1533-position model. The record is from RNAcentral.
GGCGAACGCUGGCGGCAGGCUUAACACAUGCAAGUCGAGCGGGCAUAGCAAUAUGUCAGCGGCAGACGGGUGAGUAACGCGUGGGAACGUACCUUUUGGUUCGGAACAACUGAGGGAAACUUCAGCUAAUACCGGAUAAGCCCUUACGGGGAAAGAUUUAUCGCCGAAAGAUCGGCCCGCGUCUGAUUAGCUAGUUGGUGAGGUAAUGGCUCACCAAGGCGACGAUCAGUAGCUGGUCUGAGAGGAUGAUCAGCCACAUUGGGACUGAGACACGGCCCAAACUCCUACGGGAGGCAGCAGUGGGGAAUAUUGGACAAUGGGCGCAAGCCUGAUCCAGCCAUGCCGCGUGAGUGAUGAAGGCCCUAGGGUUGUAAAGCUCUUUUGUGCGGGAAGAUAAUGACGGUACCGCAAGAAUAAGCCCCGGCUAACUUCGUG